This 252-nucleotide ribosomal RNA is filed under the name uncultured bacterium. Its description in RNAcentral is "partial 16S ribosomal RNA". It matches the Rfam family "Bacterial small subunit ribosomal RNA", at positions 524 to 776 of the family's 1533-position model. The record is from RNAcentral.
UACGUAGGUGGCAAGCGUUGUCCGGAAUUAUUGGGCGUAAAGGGAGCGCAGGUGGGAAUGUAAGUCAAUCUUAAAAGUGCGGGGCUCAACCCCGUGAUGGGAUAGAAACUACAUUUCUUGAGUGCAGGAGAGGAAAGUGGAAUUCCUAGUGUAGCGGUGAAAUGCGUAGAUAUUAGGAGGAACACCAGUGGCGAAGGCGACUUUCUGGACUGUUACUGACACUGAGGCUCGAAAGCUAGGGGAGCGAACGGG